UCUCCGUAGGUGAACCUGCGGAAGGAUCAUUCGUAAUAAGUGUUUUAUGGCACUUUUUUAAAUCCAUAUCCACCUUGUGUGCAAUGUCAGGGUUGAUUUUUCUCUCGAGAGGAUCAACCCCAAACAUCAACUAUAUCUCAACUCUUUGUCUGAAAAAUAUUAUGAAUAAAACAAUUCAAAAUACAACUUUCAACAACGGAUCUCUUGGCUCUC
This 213-nucleotide unclassified non-coding RNA is filed under the name plant metagenome. RNAcentral's name for it is "partial contains small subunit ribosomal RNA, internal transcribed spacer 1, and 5.8S ribosomal RNA". The record is from RNAcentral.